Molecule: ribosomal RNA, 470 nt
Filed under: Photobacterium angustum
Lineage: Bacteria; Pseudomonadati; Pseudomonadota; Gammaproteobacteria; Vibrionales; Vibrionaceae
Description: bacterial SSU rRNA
Rfam family: Bacterial small subunit ribosomal RNA
Source: RNAcentral
GCGCAUGUGGUUUAAUUAGAUGCAACGAGAAGACCUUUACCUACUCGUGACAUCCAGAGAAUUUUCCAGAGAUGGUUUGGUGCCUUCGGGAACUCUGAGACAGGUGCUGCAUGGCUGUCGUCAGCUCGUGUUGUGAAAUGUUGGGUUAAGUCCCGCAACGAGCGCAACCCUUAUCCUUGUUUGCCAGCACAUAAUGGUGGGAACUCCAGGGAGACUGCCGGUGAUAAACCGGAGGAAGGUGGGGACGACGUCAAGUCAUCAUGGCCCUUACGAGUAGGGCUACACACGUGCUACAAUGGCGUAUACAGAGGGCUGCCAACCAGCGAUGGUGAGCGAAUCCCAGAAAGUACGUCGUAGUCCGGAUUGGAGUCUGCAACUCGACUCCAUGAAGUCGGAAUCGCUAGUAAUCGUGAAUCAGAAUGUCACGGUGAAUACGUUCCCGGGCCUUGUACACACCGCCCGUCACACCA